Scleropages formosus (Asian bonytongue) is the source of this 1325-nucleotide long non-coding RNA. The record is from Ensembl. NCBI's taxonomy places the organism in Eukaryota, Metazoa, Chordata, Actinopteri, Osteoglossiformes, Osteoglossidae.
AUUUUGUGAAUACAAUUUGCAUAUAUACUGUAUUUUGUCUGUGUACAUUGCGUUAUCCCCCCGUGUGUCAUAUGUAUACUAUGUAUACUGCGUAUAUAGUGCAUAUUACGUAUACUGUGCAAUAUUGUGUGUGUGUGUAUUUAUACUGAGCAACCCCCCGUGUAUUGUAUUGUUCUACUAUAUAUAGGGAUUGCAUAGUGUACACUUAUGUUGUAUAACGUAACUUAUGUUAUACUCUCAACACUGCAUUUUCUGGAGCUGCACUAAAGAUUUUCACUCUUCUCUACAUGUUAUGUUGACGGUGAUGUGACAAUAAAGCUUGAUUGGAUUUGAUUUGAUUUGACCUCCAGCGGAGCGUAGACGCACAGAACGUGUAUGUACUGACUUCUCCAUGUGACGUCCACCCCAAAACCCAGCCAGCAUGAACAGUAAAAGGCCUAACCUUCUGAUAGGUGCACUCCCCAAAAAGUAUCUCCAUGCCUGUAGAGUGGACACCACCUACGCUCUAGUAGGACUCACCCUUCCUCCAUUCGUGAGAGAAGAGAGUCAUGUCCUGCAAGUCCCGGAGAUGGACUUCCUGCAAAAACACAGGUUGAAGGCAUAGGACUCAAACUGAUUAAACAGUUAAACAGCAGUUAUUUUUACUUCAUUUUUAAGUCCCCUGACGUUAAGGGAUAAUAUUUUAAAAUCAGCCAUUGCAGUACAUUAUUAAAUGAAUAAAGCACUAAAAUAACAUGAAAAACCGGCCACUAUUUAGUCCAUAAAGAACUCCUCUUCAGAAGACACUGCCUCCACAGGGUCCACACGGCAUCCAUCUCCUCCGGGGAAGAGGUUUGCUCUCGGCCUUCUUCCGAAGGGGACUCGGCCGGCAAAAGGGCCCCGUCACAUGCCAAUGCAGCCUCCCUUCCAAACUUUUUCUUCUUCCUUUUUUGGUGUAGAAUCUUCCAUUUUUUGCUCCAUAAAUAUUCACCAAGAUAGGGGCAGGGCUUGCUCCCCGGAUCUCUUUGGCUUCACCAAUGGCCUCUCUGGCCCCCGCUGGCAUUUCCACCACCAUCUCCAUCACGCCGAUUUCCUUCUUCGUCAAGGCUUCUGCCGUGUGCCCCUGACCCUGGCAGAUUCUAUAGAAGGGAGGCUGCUGGGGGUAAAAGAGGUAAUCGCCAUUAUUGUGCCUAUUAGAAUACGUUCCUUGUGCACAUUCUGUAAGAGAGUAGCAUUCACAUUCUAACCACUUCACCCUCUGUGUGAAGAUGAAAAUGAUCAGGAAAGACAAAUAAUUUCUCAGCUCUUUGUGCCACAUUGUGCUCAUAAGCACAGUUUCUGAUAUG